This 386-nucleotide RNase P RNA is filed under the name Paramuribaculum intestinale. RNAcentral describes it as "RNase P RNA component class A". It matches the Rfam family "Bacterial RNase P class A". Rfam says of the family: Ribonuclease P (RNase P) is a ubiquitous endoribonuclease, found in archaea, bacteria and eukarya as well as chloroplasts and mitochondria. The record is from RNAcentral. RNAcentral also lists the same sequence under 2 other names. Lineage: Bacteria; Pseudomonadati; Bacteroidota; Bacteroidia; Bacteroidales; Muribaculaceae.
GCAGCCGGACGUUCCGUCGCGGGUCGGCAUUAGCCGGCAUGAGGAAAGUCCGGGCAACACAGAGCACCAUGUUUCCUAACAGGAAGCCGGCAGCGAUGCCGGGGCAAGUGUGACAGAAAACGACCGCCACGAUCCUUCGGGCCGUGGUAAGGGUGAAAAGGCGGGGUAAGAGCCCACCGGGCUUCAUGGCGACAUGAGGCACCGCACAUCCCAUGGGUUGCAAGGCCAAGUAUACCGGCAUUCAAGGAUUGCUCGUCCAUUGCCGGGGGGUAGGCUGCUUGAGCCAUGCGGCAACGUAUGGCGUAGAUAAAUGACGGAACGGCCCUGAUGGCCCCCUCGGGGAAGUGUCAGGCCGACAUAACCCGGCUUACAGUCCGGCUGCAAAG